RNAcentral lists this ribosomal RNA (515 nucleotides) under uncultured marine picoplankton. RNAcentral describes it as "SSU rRNA". It matches the Rfam family "Eukaryotic small subunit ribosomal RNA", at positions 597 to 1107 of the family's 1831-position model. The record is from RNAcentral.
GCGUAUAUUAAUGUUGUUGCAGUUAAAAAGCUCGUAGUUGGAUAUCUGGCCUUUGCGUUGACGACCCGCCCUCUUUUGGGAUGAGCGUUGGAGACGUGGGUCUAUUUUCCGGUUGGUGUCCAUUCCACUUUAUUGGGGCGUGGUUCACGAUCCGGAUCGUUUACUUUGAAAAAAUUCGAGUGUUCAUAGCAGGCUUACGCCGUGAAGAUCGCAGCAUGGAAUAAUAACAUAGGACUUGGCGUUCUAUUUUGUUGGUUCUGGAACCUAAGUAAUGAUUGAUAGGGACAGUUGGGGGUGCUGCUAUAGACUGGCCAGAGGUGAAAUUCUAAGACUCAGUCUAGAGCAACUUAUGCGAAAGCAUUCACCAAGGAUGUCUUCUUUAAUCAAGAACGAAAGUUGGGGGAUCGAAGACGAUCAGAUACCGUCGUAGUCUCAACCAUAAACUAUGCCGACUAGGGAUUGGGGGGCGUUGAAUUAUCCGACUUCCUCAGCACCUUAUGAGAAAUCAAAGUCUU